This 92-nucleotide ribosomal RNA is filed under the name Lysinibacillus xylanilyticus. RNAcentral's name for it is "partial 23S ribosomal RNA". It matches the Rfam family "Bacterial large subunit ribosomal RNA", at positions 2832 to 2925 of the family's 2925-position model. The record is from RNAcentral. RNAcentral also lists the same sequence under 1 other name. Lineage: Bacteria; Bacillati; Bacillota; Bacilli; Caryophanales; Bacillaceae.
GAUCCCUCAAAGACGAUGAGGUAGAUAGGUUCGAGGUGGAAGUGUGGUGACACAUGGAGCUGACGAAUACUAAUCGAUCGAGGACUUAACCA